UACAGAGGGUGCAAGCGUUAAUCGGAAUUACUGGGCGUAAAGGGCGCGUAGGUGGUUCAUUAAGUUAGGUGUGAAAUCCCUGGGCUUAACCUAGGAAUUGCAUUUAAUACUGAUGAGCUAGAGUAUGGGAGAGGUAAGUGGAAUUUCCAGUGUAGCGGUGAAAUGCGUAGAUAUUGGAAGGAACACCAGUGGCGAAGGCGACUUACUGGACCAUUACUGACACUGAGGCGCGAAAGCGUGGGGAGCGAACAGG
Molecule: ribosomal RNA, 253 nt
Filed under: uncultured bacterium
Lineage: Bacteria
Description: partial 16S ribosomal RNA
Rfam family: Bacterial small subunit ribosomal RNA
Source: RNAcentral